Molecule: long non-coding RNA, 598 nt
Organism: Pundamilia nyererei
Lineage: Eukaryota; Metazoa; Chordata; Actinopteri; Cichliformes; Cichlidae
Exons: 4
Source: RefSeq, a predicted model, not a curated record
ACUGGUGGAACAACCUCCAAUCAAACCAAAGUUGUUCACCUGGAGAAUUCUUGGUGGAGAACCGAGUUGGUAAUGUCUGUUUAUCUGCAGAGUAAUCUGGAAAAGCAGCAGAACCAUCAGAACUAGGUGAUUGGUGAUAGGAAGAGGAGACUUGAAUGGAUUCUUCACAAAAGGAACAAAGAAGCAACAACCGACAGAGACCUCGGCACUCUUCCGAUGAUGACAAUGCUAACCUCACACAAGCAAAGAGAGAGAAAUCAUUCACUUGUGGUCUUCGUGCAAAGAGCUUUAUCACAAGGAGGCAGCUCGGGAGACACCAAUGUUUCCACAAUAAGAAAAGAUGCUUCUCUUGUGUUGACUGUGGAAAAUCUUUUACUACAAAGAGUAACUUGACGAGGCAUAAGCUCAUCCACACUGGGGUUAAACCAUUCAGCUGUGACCAGUGUGGAAAGUGUUUUACUCGGCAAAGUGCCUUAAAAUCACACCAACUCAUCCAUGCAGGAAUUAAACCAUUCAGCUGUGGUCAGUGUGGAAAGUGUUUUACUCGGCAAAGUGCCUUAAAAUCACACCAACUCAUCCAUGCAGGAAUUAAACCAUU